AUGAACGCUGGCGGCGUGCCUAAUCCAUGCAAGUCGAGCGAACAGACGAGGAGCUUGCUCCUCUGACGUUAGCGGCGGACGGGUGAGUAACACGUGGAUAACCUACCUAUAAGACUGGGAUAACUUCGGGAAACCGGAGCUAAUACCGGAUAAUAUAUUGAACCGCAUGGUUCAAUAGUGAAAGACGGUUUUGCUGUCACUUAUAGAUGGAUCCGCGCCGCAUUAGCUAGUUGGUAAGGUAACGGCUUACCAAGGCAACGAUGCGUAGCCGACCUGAGAGGGUGAUCGGCCACACUGGAACUGAGACACGGUCCAGACUCCUACGGGAGGCAGCAGUAGGGAAUCUUCCGCAAUGGGCGAAAGCCUGACGGAGCAACGCCGCGUGAGUGAUGAAGGUCUUCGGAUCGUAAAACGCUGUUAUUAGGGAAGAACAAAUGUGUAAGUAACUAUGCACGUCUUGACGGUACCUAAUCAGAAAGCCACGGCUAACUACGU
Molecule: ribosomal RNA, 495 nt
Filed under: uncultured bacterium
Lineage: Bacteria
Description: partial 16S ribosomal RNA
Rfam family: Bacterial small subunit ribosomal RNA
Source: RNAcentral